This 1264-nucleotide long non-coding RNA is filed under the name Marmota monax (woodchuck). Lineage: Eukaryota; Metazoa; Chordata; Mammalia; Rodentia; Sciuridae. The record is from RNAcentral.
CGCGUCCGGUAGCUCAGAGUGAAUGGCAGCUGCUUUCUUGUCCUGUAGGGUGGCUUUUGGCACUCGGGUGACGAUUUUAAAAUUACUUUUGCUUUCAAUAACUAAUAUUAAGAUUAUAAACGCAAAACCUGGUUAUUCUUAAGUAGUAUAUACCCUGGUUUUUUAAAAAAACAUUCUAAGGGGAUUUUUAAGAUAAGUUAAAUUCUAUAGAUCACAUUUACAACUUUAAUGUAUUUUUAUUUUCUUCUUAAACGACUCAAUGACUUGAAAAAAAUCCAAGAACUUAGUUCCACUGAUAUGUUAAAUCUAAAAGUAUGAUUGUAAAUCUUAAAAACCUCAUAAUCUCAAUAUUACUUAGAGGUGUGGUUAAAUUGUUAUAUACAUGUCGAUUUAUAAUCACUAGUCUGAAUCAGUUACUGUAUUUUCAUUUUAAAAAUGGAAUUGCAAAAUUUAACAUAUUACAUACUUUAGUGUGUUUAGAGUCUCAAACACUGCAAAUAUUUAACAUGCCAAAUUAAAUGGAUAAUUUCCGACUAAUGGAAAAUAAUGCUAUGACUUUGAUUUACUUGUUUCUAUAAUUAAUCCUAAUCUUCCAGGGAUUACAGGUACUUAUCCACUAAGGAAAGAAUUUUCAAGAAAACAGAAUCCAUGAAUGGAUUGAAGAAUAAGGGUGUGGUGGCACUCUCCUGUAAUCCUAGGCCAAGGCAGAAGGAUCACAAGUUCUAGGCUAGCCUGGGUAAUUUAGUGAGACCCUGUCUCAAAAUGAAAUUUUAAAAAAGGACUGGGAAUGUAGUAUAGCACUUCUGGGUUCAAUCCCCAGUAACACACACACAAAAAUAACAACACUAGAUUGCAGAACUGAUUUGUUCAUUCAUGGCCAGUAGUUUAAAAAUCAGAAUAAAGAGAAUAAGAAGUAAGUGUAUGUCAAUAGAGUAAGGAGUAUGUUAUUGUGAGAUUUCUGUUUCAGCUAUAAAUCUAUAUAUCGCUGUAUAGAGUGUAUAUACACUGUUAUACACGUAUAAAUUCAUAUUUUCAUGUUUAUAUAUAUAUGUAUAUACUUGCAUUUCUGUGUAUUAACUCAGGAUAUAAAAAUAACCUGAUAAUCAUUCAGUGAGCCAAAAGAUUACCUCAGUUAUACUUUGGGCAGAUUUGAGCCUGCUAGCUUCAAGGAUGCUGCAACGAAGUAGUUUGCUGACUGAAGAAAAGUGUACUUUAAAAAGUGAGAUACAAAUGCUUGUGAUUGAACAGAGGUAUGGUGUAAAUA